GAAGCGGGGGAUAACACCUGGAAACAGAUGCUAAUACCGCAUAACAACUUGGACCGCAUGGUCCGAGCUUGAAAGAUGGCUUCGGCUAUCACUUUUGGAUGGUCCCGCGGCGUAUUAGCUAGAUGGUGGGGUAACGGCUCACCAUGGCAAUGAUACGUAGCCGACCUGAGAGGGUAAUCGGCCACAUUGGGACUGAGACACGGCCCAAACUCCUACGGGAGGCAGCAGUAGGGAAUCUUCCACAAUGGACGAAAGUCUGAUGGAGCAACGCCGCGUGAGUGAAGAAGGGUUUCGGCUCGUAAAACUCUGUUGUUAAAGAAGAACAUAUCUGAGAGUAACUGUUCAGGUAUUGACGGUAUUUAACCAGAAAGCCACGGCUAACUACGUGCCAGCAGCCGCGGUAAUACGUAGGUGGCAAGCGUUGUCCGGAUUUAUUGGGCGUAAAGCGAGCGCAGGCGGUUUUUUAAGUCUGAUGUGAAAGCCUUCGGCUCAACCGAAGAAGUGCAUCGGAAACUGGGAAACUUGAGUGCAGAAGAGGACAGUGGAACUCCAUGUGUAGCGGUGAAAUGCGUAGAUAUAUGGA
Molecule: ribosomal RNA, 583 nt
Filed under: Lactiplantibacillus plantarum
Lineage: Bacteria; Bacillati; Bacillota; Bacilli; Lactobacillales; Lactobacillaceae
Description: bacterial SSU rRNA
Rfam family: Bacterial small subunit ribosomal RNA
Source: RNAcentral